Molecule: ribosomal RNA, 253 nt
Filed under: uncultured bacterium
Lineage: Bacteria
Description: partial 16S ribosomal RNA
Rfam family: Bacterial small subunit ribosomal RNA
Source: RNAcentral
UACGAAGGGAGCUAGCGUUGUUCGGAAUCACUGGGCGUAAAGCGCACGUAGGCGGAUUUGCCAGUCAGGGGUGAAAUCCCGGGGCUCAACCUCGGAACUGCCUUUGAUACAGCAAGUCUUGAGUUCGAGAGAGGUGGGUGGAAUUCCUAGUGUAGAGGUGAAAUUCGUAGAUAUUAGGAAGAACACCGGUGGCGAAGGCGGCCCACUGGUCCGGUACUGACGCUGAGGUGCGAAAGCGUGGGGAGCAAACAGG